Molecule: long non-coding RNA, 312 nt
Filed under: Physcomitrium patens
Lineage: Eukaryota; Viridiplantae; Streptophyta; Bryopsida; Funariales; Funariaceae
Description: long non-coding RNA (PPAT_LNC003424)
Source: RNAcentral
GGGUGGAAUUGACAGUCAAUGUUGAUUUCAUUACUCAAAGAUGAAAAUGCUCUAGUUUCAAGAUAAUAAUUGUUUGUUAAUCAAAAGAUGUAUUUCUUUCUUUUAGUACAAGAUAAGAAUGUCUAGAAAAGGCGUCUAACAAACAUUGUUGUUUUUCAAGUCGAUAUGUGAUUUUAAAAUCAAAUCUUGAUAAAAACAUGCUUCAACAGGCUUAGCGAUGAUUCAAAACACAUGUUGACAUAAAGUACUCGAGAUUCAUGUGGUCCGUAUAUAUAAUGACUAGAUUAAAAGCACGUAUUAGAUGAUGACACC